Molecule: transfer RNA, 92 nt
Filed under: Dehalococcoidia bacterium
Lineage: Bacteria; Bacillati; Chloroflexota; Dehalococcoidia
Description: tRNA-Ser
Rfam family: tRNA
About the family: Transfer RNA (tRNA) molecules are approximately 80 nucleotides in length. Their secondary structure includes four short double-helical elements and three loops (D, anti-codon, and T loops).
Source: RNAcentral
GGAGGGGUCGCAUAGUGGCCUAGUGCGGGCGCCUGCUAAGCGCUUAGGGGUAGAAAUGCCUCUCGCGGGUUCGAAUCCCGCCCCCUCCGCCG